RNAcentral lists this ribosomal RNA (284 nucleotides) under uncultured Lachnospiraceae bacterium. RNAcentral describes it as "partial 16S ribosomal RNA". The stretch from base 46 to 284 matches the Rfam family "Bacterial small subunit ribosomal RNA", at positions 100 to 339 of the family's 1533-position model. The record is from RNAcentral. Lineage: Bacteria; Bacillati; Bacillota; Clostridia; Lachnospirales; Lachnospiraceae.
CUGCUUUGAUGAAGUUUUCGGAUGGAUUUAAAACAGCUUAGUGGCGGACGGGUGAGUAACGCGUGGGUAACCUGCCUCACACUGGGGGAUAACAGUUAGAAAUAGCUGCUAAUACCGCAUAAGCGCACGGUUCCGCAUGGAACAGUGUGAAAAACUCCGGUGGUAUGAGAUGGACCCGCGUCUGAUUAGGUAGUUGGUGGGGUAACGGCCUACCAAGCCGACGAUCAGUAGCCGACCUGAGAGGGUGACCGGCCACAUUGGAACUGAGACACGGUCCAAACUCC